ACUGGAGGACUAACAAGACUGAGUCUGGAGAGUGAGACUCUGGUGACAGUGGCCUCCUAAAAGAAAAGGGAUGGAGAGAGCAGUCCUACUUCCAGAAGAGCACAGGACUCACUGUGCCAUCUGACACUG
This is a non-coding RNA of Corvus moneduloides (New Caledonian crow), 129 nucleotides long. NCBI's taxonomy places the organism in Eukaryota, Metazoa, Chordata, Aves, Passeriformes, Corvidae. The record is from Ensembl.